This 73-nucleotide transfer RNA is filed under the name Candidatus Magasanikiibacteriota bacterium. RNAcentral's name for it is "tRNA-Thr". It matches the Rfam family "tRNA". From Rfam's summary of the family: Transfer RNA (tRNA) molecules are approximately 80 nucleotides in length. Their secondary structure includes four short double-helical elements and three loops (D, anti-codon, and T loops). The record is from RNAcentral. Lineage: Bacteria; Candidatus Magasanikiibacteriota.
GCCGCCUUAGCUCAGUUGGCAGAGCGACACACUCGUAACGUGUAGGCCCGGAGUUCGAUCCUCCGAGGUGGCU